RNAcentral lists this ribosomal RNA (946 nucleotides) under uncultured Pseudomonas sp. Its description in RNAcentral is "bacterial SSU rRNA". It matches the Rfam family "Bacterial small subunit ribosomal RNA", at positions 8 to 949 of the family's 1533-position model. The record is from RNAcentral. Lineage: Bacteria; Pseudomonadati; Pseudomonadota; Gammaproteobacteria; Pseudomonadales; Pseudomonadaceae.
AGAGUUUGAUCAUGGCUCAGAUUGAACGCUGGCGGCAGGCCUAACACAUGCAAGUCGAGCAGAUGAAGAGAGCUUGCUCUUUGAUUCAGCGGCGGACGGGUGAGUAAUGCCUAGGAAUCUGCCUGAUAGUGGGGGACAACGUUUCGAAAGGAACGCUAAUACCGCAUACGUCCUACGGGAGAAAGCAGGGGACCUUCGGGCCUUGCGCUAUCAGAUGAGCCUAGGUCGGAUUAGCUAGUUGGUGAGGUAAUGGCUCACCAAGGCGACGAUCCGUAACUGGUCUGAGAGGAUGAUCAGUCACACUGGAACUGAGACACGGUCCAGACUCCUACGGGAGGCAGCAGUGGGGAAUAUUGGACAAUGGGCGAAAGCCUGAUCCAGCCAUGCCGCGUGUGUGAAGAAGGUCUUCGGAUUGUAAAGCACUUUAAGUUGGGAGGAAGGGCAUUAACCUAAUACGUUAGUGUUUUGACGUUACCGACAGAAUAAGCACCGGCUAACUUCGUGCCAGCAGCCGCGGUAAUACGAAGGGUGCAAGCGUUAAUCGGAAUUACUGGGCGUAAAGCGCGCGUAGGUGGUUUGUUAAGUUGAAUGUGAAAGCCCCGGGCUCAACCUGGGAACUGCAUCCAAAACUGGCAAGCUAGAGUAUGGCAGANGGUGGUGGAAUUUCCUGUGUAGCGGUGAAAUGCGUAGAUAUAGGAAGGAACACCAGUGGCGAANGCGACCACCUGGGCUAAUACUGACACUGANGUGCGAAAGCGUGGGGAGCAAACAGGAUUANAUACCCUGGNUAGUCCACGCCGUAAACGAUGUCGACUAGCCGUUGGGAUNCUUGAGAUCUUANUGGCGCANCUNACGCAUUAANUCGACCGCCUGGGGAGUACGGCCGCAAGGUUAAANCUCNNUGAAUUGACNGGGGCCCGCACAAGCGGUGGANCAUGUGGUUUNA